UUCAUUAGAUGGCUCGUCUUCAUCAUCUGCAGCAACAACCCUAUCUCCAUUUCUCUGAGAUUUUAGAAGACACACAUGGCCAAAUUCAUAAGGAUCAUAGUAGGUUGGUAGGCCAUCACAUUUAGCCAGAAAUCUGGGACGAAACCGAUGCAGUGAAUUUAGUACAUCUUCAUAUAUCUCAGAAACUUGAUGUAGAGAUGACUGCACAAGAUUAUGAAAUGAGCACCAUUCCUCUUCAAUCUUCAGUAGCAGAGAUGUCACAGCUUUCAUUUCAUCAAACCUAGAAAGUC
Molecule: unclassified non-coding RNA, 290 nt
Filed under: Hevea brasiliensis (rubber tree)
Lineage: Eukaryota; Viridiplantae; Streptophyta; Magnoliopsida; Malpighiales; Euphorbiaceae
Source: RNAcentral